AUGAGCUUCUCGCAAAGAGCUUGUGUGUUUCUACUGAUUUUGAGCAGUUCACAGUGUGUGGAUAUUACAGCCACAGGAACAGAGGGAGAACAAGUGCUCAUUACGUGUCCUUAUGCUAAAGGAUAUGAAAAAGCUUACAAAGGCUUUUACAAAGGAAAUUACAAAGAUUAUGAUGUUAUACUAAAAUCUAAUGGAGGAGAGACCUCAGUCAGUGGCAGAAUCUCUCUGCGGGACGAUGGCAAGAUGAGAUCAUUGACAGUGACCAUCAGAAACCUGAAGAUGGAAGAUGCUGGACCAUACAUCUGUCGAGCUGGAUAUGGAUACCUUAAACAAAUCCAUCUAAAUGUGAUCAGAGCUCCACAGAGACCAAGACCUGUCCAGAUCUUUACCUCCACCAUUCAUCCAGAUCAAACGAUCAGCUCACUUUCAAACACGCCGCCCCAUUUGAGCACAUCAGACUUGAACCCACAAUCCAGCACCAUCAGGAUCACAGAUCAUCACAUCUCCUCACCAGCUCAGAUCAGCUGCUGCCCUUCCUCUCUCAGUAACUUUCCUUUCAUAUUCUUUAUGUCUGUAUGA
Molecule: long non-coding RNA, 579 nt
Organism: Cyprinus carpio (common carp)
Lineage: Eukaryota; Metazoa; Chordata; Actinopteri; Cypriniformes; Cyprinidae
Source: Ensembl